This 21-nucleotide microRNA is filed under the name Sus scrofa (pig). RNAcentral's name for it is "ssc-miR-9846-3p". The record is from miRBase by way of RNAcentral. Lineage: Eukaryota; Metazoa; Chordata; Mammalia; Artiodactyla; Suidae.
UGCCUGGAUCAGAGGAGGAAA